RNAcentral lists this ribosomal RNA (462 nucleotides) under Triticum aestivum (bread wheat). RNAcentral describes it as "partial small subunit ribosomal RNA". The record is from RNAcentral. Lineage: Eukaryota; Viridiplantae; Streptophyta; Magnoliopsida; Poales; Poaceae.
AUGGCUGACGUUGAUGUCGACCCCGAGGUGGCGGCCGCCGGCCCCAAGAAGAGGACGUUCCGCAAGUUCAGCUACCGCGGCGUGGACCUCGACGCUCUCCUCGACAUGUCCAGCGAGGACCUCGUCGGCCUCUUCCCUGCCCGCGCCCGCAGAAGGUUCUCGAGGGGUCUGAAGAGGAAGCCGAUGGCGCUCGUCAAGAAGCUGCGCAAGGCGAAAAGCGAAGCCCCUGCUGGUGAGAAGCCUGAGCAAGUGAGGACCCACCUCCGCAACAUGAUUAUCAUGCCUGAGAUGAUCGGAAGCGUCGUGGGCAUCUACAAUGGCAAGUGCUUCAACCAGGUGGAGAUCAAGCCGGAGAUGAUUGGGCACUACCUGGCAGAGUUCUCCCUGUCGUACAAGCCGGUGAAGCACGGGAGGCCUGGUAUCGGUGCCACCCACUCGUCGAGGUUCAUUCCUCUCAAGUGA